Hypomesus transpacificus is the source of this 502-nucleotide long non-coding RNA. RefSeq lists it as uncharacterized. The record is from RefSeq and is a predicted model, not a curated record. The transcript is spliced from 2 exons. Lineage: Eukaryota; Metazoa; Chordata; Actinopteri; Osmeriformes; Osmeridae.
AUUUUCAGGCUGCAAUUUCCUGUUUAAAAAGAGGGACGUUCAAAGCAGUGUAAAAGAAUGGGAGGAUACCUGGAAGUCUGCUGUUAAUAUUUCUGUGCCUAGCUGCCUGGUUAUUGUUUAAAGAGUUCCCAAUUCUAUAUUUGUUAUUGAUAUACACUGUAACAUGUUAUGAGCUUAUUGUGAUACUGUUACGGCCACAAUCUUUUUCUCAGUUCAAGUUUUGUUUGUUAUCCAUUUACAUUUAGUCAUUUAGUCACUUCCUGGGUUCUAGGCAUCGAUUUAUGGUUGCCUCCAUAAAACUUAACUUAUAACACGGGUGAGUUGGUGACCAAGCUAACGUUUUCGAGUUUUUGUUUUAGAUUCACUGUUAGGUAAGGGAGCGCGCUGGCUACGCCUUCCCAUUGCGGGGAGGGCCAGCGGCUCCCAGGUUUUGGUUUAUUUUCACUAACUCAGUCUUGUUUUUCUGUUCAAUAAACUUUGGUAUUACUUUUAUAAACAUUGA